AGAAUCAACGCUGGCGGCGUGCCUAACACAUGCAAGUCGAACGCGAAAGUCCCGCAAGGGAUAAGUAGAGUGGCAAACGGGUGAGUAACACGUGGGUGACCUGCCUUCGAGUGGGGGAUAACGUCCCGAAAGGGACGCUAAUACCGCAUAACAUCCUGCUUUUGAACAGGUGGAGAUCAAAGCUGGGGACCCGCAAGGGCCUGGCGCUUGAAGAGGGGCCCGCGUCUGAUUAGCUAGUUGGUGGGUAACGGCUCACCAAGGCAACGAUCAGUA
This 273-nucleotide ribosomal RNA is filed under the name uncultured bacterium. RNAcentral describes it as "partial small subunit ribosomal RNA". It matches the Rfam family "Bacterial small subunit ribosomal RNA", at positions 26 to 285 of the family's 1533-position model. The record is from RNAcentral.